This 254-nucleotide ribosomal RNA is filed under the name uncultured bacterium. RNAcentral's name for it is "partial 16S ribosomal RNA". It matches the Rfam family "Bacterial small subunit ribosomal RNA", at positions 524 to 776 of the family's 1533-position model. The record is from RNAcentral.
UACGUAGGGUGCAAGCGUUGUCCGGAAUUAUUGGGCGUAAAGAGCUCGUAGGCGGUCUGUCGCGUCUGCUGUGAAAACUCAGGGCUUAACCCUGAGCUUGCAGUGGGUACGGGCAGACUAGAGUGCGGUAGGGGAGACUGGAAUUCCUGGUGUAGCGGUGAAAUGCGCAGAUAUCAGGAGGAACACCGGUGGCGGAAGGCGGCUCUCUGGGACGGUACUGACGCUGAGACGCGAAAGCGUGGGGAGCGAACAGG